RNAcentral lists this long non-coding RNA (210 nucleotides) under Ricinus communis (castor bean). Its description in RNAcentral is "long non-coding RNA (RCOM_LNC001712)". Lineage: Eukaryota; Viridiplantae; Streptophyta; Magnoliopsida; Malpighiales; Euphorbiaceae. The record is from RNAcentral.
ACAACCCCGUAAGAGGGGUGUAUUUGUCAAUAUUAGAAAAUAACCCUGUAAGAGGGGUAUAUCUUUCAAAAUUAGAAAACAACCCUAAAAAAGUGGUAUAUUUGUCAAUAUGAUAAAACAACCUCGUAAGAGGGGUAUAUUUGUCAAUAUUAGAAAACAACCCCGUAAGAGGGGCAUAUCUUUCAACAAGAGAAACCAAUACCAAAAAAG